GACGAACGCUGGCGGCGUGCCUAAUACAUGCAAGUAGAACGCUGAAGGAGGAGCUUGCUUCUCUGGAUGAGUUGCGAACGGGUGAGUAACGCGUAGGUAACCUGCCUGGUAGCGGGGGAUAACUAUUGGAAACGAUAGCUAAUACCGCAUAAUAGUAGAUGUUGCAUGACAUUUGCUUAAAAGGUGCAAUUGCAUCACUACCAGAUGGACCUGCGUUGUAUUAGCUAGUUGGUGGGGUAACGGCUCACCAAGGCGACGAUACAUAGCCGACCUGAGAGGGUGAUCGGCCACACUGGGACUGAGACACGGCCCAGACUCCUACGGGAGGCAGCAGUAGGGAAUCUUCGGCAAUGGACGGAAGUCUGACCGAGCAACGCCGCGUGAGUGAAGAAGGUUGUCGGAUCGUAAAGCUCGGUUGUAAGAGAAGAACGAGUGUGAGAGUGGAAAGUUCACACUGUGACGGUAUCUUAACAGAAAGGGACGGCUAACUACGUG
This 495-nucleotide ribosomal RNA is filed under the name uncultured bacterium. Its description in RNAcentral is "partial 16S ribosomal RNA". It matches the Rfam family "Bacterial small subunit ribosomal RNA", at positions 28 to 507 of the family's 1533-position model. The record is from RNAcentral.